This 253-nucleotide ribosomal RNA is filed under the name uncultured bacterium. RNAcentral's name for it is "partial 16S ribosomal RNA". It matches the Rfam family "Bacterial small subunit ribosomal RNA", at positions 524 to 776 of the family's 1533-position model. The record is from RNAcentral.
UACGUAGGGGGCAAGCGUUGUCCGGAAUUAUUGGGCGUAAAGAGCGUGUAGGCGGCCAGAUAAGUCCGCUGUGAAAUCUCGAGGCUCAACUUCGAGCUGUCGGUGGAAACUAUCUGGCUAGAGUCCGGAAGAGGAGAAUGGAAUUCCUGGUGUAGCGGUGAAAUGCGCAGAUAUCAGGAAGAACACCAAUGGCGAAAGCAGCUCUCUGGGACGGUACUGACGCUGAGACGCGAAAGCGUGGGGAGCGAACAGG